CUGGUAUUGUGAAUGCUGGUUCAUUGGCUGAACAACCAACAGUUGCUGCUUCUAUCAGCCAUAUGCACUGGCCCAGUCAUCCCCCACUACAGGAAGAGCGGAAAGAAGUCAGCACAGAUCAGUGCAACGUGAUUGGCUAAUACUCUGUCAGCAGACAUCAGAAGAUGAAUGGUAUUGGCCGGUUGUCAGUACCAGGAUGCCCGCGACCCUGUAUGCAGGAUAAGCGGUUGACGAUGGAUGGAUGGAUGGAUGGAUUUUGCAGAUGCUCUUUUGCCCCACAGCCUGCAAUUGAUUGAUUGAGAAAGUAUGGGGUUAGAUAUCCAUUACAUUACAAGUCAGAUUGCUACACAUUUUAUUCCAAAUUCAGAAAGAAUUUCUGGGUCUUUUUCUACCCUGACACCGAUUUUGGUUCUUAAACAAAAUAUAUGCUGAUACCACCCGACCAGUCCGACUUGAUAUUGGGAUAAAAAAGGCAUUAUUCUGUAACAGGAAUUGCCUGUGCACUAAGUAUGUGUCUGCUCAC
Micropterus dolomieu (smallmouth bass) is the source of this 523-nucleotide long non-coding RNA. RefSeq lists it as uncharacterized. Lineage: Eukaryota; Metazoa; Chordata; Actinopteri; Centrarchiformes; Centrarchidae. The record is from RefSeq and is a predicted model, not a curated record. The transcript has 3 exons.